AACGAACGCUGGCGGCAUGCCUAACACAUGCAAGUCGAACGAAACCUUCGGGUCUAGUGGCGCACGGGUGCGUAACGCGUGGGAACCUGCCCUUAGGUUCGGAAUAACUCCCCGAAAGGGGUGCUAAUACCGGAUAAUGUCUUCGGACCAAAGAUUUAUCGCCGUUGGAUGGUCCCGCGUUGGAUUAGCUAGUUGGUAGGGUAAAAGCCUACCAAGGCGACGAUUCAUAGCUGGUCUGAGAGGAUGAUCAGCCACACUGGGACUGAGACACGGCCCAGACUCCUACGGGAGGCAGCAGUGGGGAAUAUUGGAAAAUGGGGGAAGGCAUGAUCCAGCUAUGCCGCGUGAGUGAUGAAGGCAGUAAGGUUGUAAAGCUCUUUUACCCGGGAUGAUAAUGACAGUACCGGGAGAAUAAGCUACGGCUAACUCCGUG
RNAcentral lists this ribosomal RNA (433 nucleotides) under uncultured bacterium. RNAcentral describes it as "partial 16S ribosomal RNA". It matches the Rfam family "Bacterial small subunit ribosomal RNA", at positions 29 to 507 of the family's 1533-position model. The record is from RNAcentral.